Molecule: non-coding RNA, 267 nt
Organism: Cinara cedri
Lineage: Eukaryota; Metazoa; Arthropoda; Insecta; Hemiptera; Aphididae
Source: the annotation of a GenBank genome assembly
AAGACCGUGUCUUUACCACCGCCGUCAUAUCGAUUUUGGUUUUAUGUCGUUUUUCUGUUUGAUAAACAUCCACGGAGACAAUUGUAUGGUUUAAAAUAUGUAAAGGAGUCUAAAAAUUCGAAGUGUAUUCGUAUCUAUUUUAAUAUUUCCGAAAUUGUACUCGAAAUAUUGUAUAACAACUCUCAAAACGAGUUUGGAAAACGAACCCUACGAGAGUGCUAAAUGUCCACCAUCUAGUCUCUAAAGGGAUUUUAAACAACAAACCAU